AGCGAACGCUGGCGGCAGGCUUAACACAUGCAAGUCGAGCGGGCACUUCGGUGUCAGCGGCAGACGGGUGAGUAACACGUGGGAACGUACCCUUCGGUUCGGAAUAACGCUGGGAAACUAGCGCUAAUACCGGAUACGCCCUUUUGGGGAAAGGUUUACUGCCGAAGGAUCGGCCCGCGUCUGAUUAGCUAGUUGGUGGGGUAAUGGCCUACCAAGGCGACGAUACGUAGCUGGUCUGGGAGGAUGAUCAGCCGGACCGGGACUGAGACAAGGCACAAGCAACGAAGGGAGGCCACAGGAGGGAAUUCUGGACCAGGGGUGCCACGCGAAGGCAGCCGGGCCGCGGGAGUGGAAAAGGCCUUUGGGUUGUAAAGCUCUUUUGUCCGGGACGAUAAUGACGGUACCGGAAGAAUAAGCCCCGGCUAACUUCGUG
This 433-nucleotide ribosomal RNA is filed under the name uncultured bacterium. Its description in RNAcentral is "partial 16S ribosomal RNA". It matches the Rfam family "Bacterial small subunit ribosomal RNA", at positions 29 to 507 of the family's 1533-position model. The record is from RNAcentral.